Long non-coding RNA from Solanum dulcamara, 1246 nucleotides. RefSeq lists it as uncharacterized. The transcript has 2 exons. The record is from RefSeq and is a predicted model, not a curated record. Lineage: Eukaryota; Viridiplantae; Streptophyta; Magnoliopsida; Solanales; Solanaceae.
GCAAAACUUACUGUGCUUUGGUGGUAUAAAGUGUCGAAUUUUUGUUGGUGCCAUGUAAUGUAGAAGUUUUAAGGAUUGGAGAAGUCAAAUAUGCCUUGGUUGCAGACCAUGAUUAUUUUAUGGAUUUUUCUCACGAUUCACCCUCAUUUUCCUUUGAUGGAUGCCUGCCUUCUGGUUGGACGAUUCUGCUUCUUUCUGAAAUGAUCACUCUAAUCUCAGAAAAGAUAUAUCUGGAUCGGGAUAACUUCUUGAAAAUUUUCUACAUUCACUUCUCUGUGGGAAUAACCCGCUUCACUGUAGAAGCCUUUAUUAUGUCAGUAGAGGCUUUAAGCUUCAUGCCAACACUUUGCCAUCUUCAUGCUACCACCUUGCCAUGUCCCUCAGCCUUGGCCUCAGCUUGUCCAUGCCAGCCUGCAUGCCAGCUGAUGCCUUGCCCUUUGCCUGCACGCAUGCCCGCCUGGUGCCAUGCGCCUGCUUGUGCCAUAUGCAUGUGACUGUUGAACUGGAUUGAUGCUAUAUGCAUAGCAGUCUUGCCUCUGCAACAUAGAUUUCCUCUUUUUCUUCUCCUUGUAUGAGUUCUUGAAGUCUCUGAUAGUGUUGUCUUUCUGGAUCUUCAGCUAUUGUCGUGAGAAGACCUUUAUUAACAAAAUUAUACGUUUCAGGGAGCAUGCUGACUGAAGAAAUAAAGUCACUUUAGUGAGAUCAAUUACCCCCACCAUCAAUGCGCAGACUUAUGGAUGCUCUAUCUUGAGGUUCGCUUUGACAUGGUACCUCUGUGUGCUGGUAUAAGUAUCUUAUACAAUCUACUUUUGAUUUCCCCUUGCUCUUGCACGUGACAUGUAGAAACCAUUCCCACCUAAAUGAUGUAAGGGGCAAAGAGGUAUCAACUUUCUGGUGCUUCUGCUUUCGUAUAGUUCUUCUUGAACAUUUGUUCAGUUGGAAAAUUAACAAAGUGGUACGAAGAAUGCUGCAUUGCUACCUGAUGGUUUUGUUGCAUUACCUAAAAUACUUUGCUUCGGUUUCUCUUCCUAUGUAUUUUUGAGAUCAAGCUGAGCUUCAUGCAGCAUUAUUAAGGUGGAAUCUAAGACUUAAUUAUUCUACAGUGACAGAAUAAGUUGUGUUCAAAAUCUGUUCAGAGGCUUUACUAUUUAUUUAUUUAUUACAUAAAAAAGUUUUGUUCAGUAUCAUAGGAUGCUGCAUAUGUACGUUUAAGGUCAUCCUGUAUAGAUUUUCAUUGUCCUCAUUA